ACUAAGUACCCUAAUAAAACUUUAAAAUAAAUAGUACAAAUAUAGGUACUUAAUUAAAAAAAUAAGAAUCCUGAACAAAUUAUAAAUAAUUGUUAUACUAUUAAUAAAAUGAAACGUCAAUAUUAAAAAGUAUCCUAUGAUGCUCUCUUACAAAUCCACACUAAAUAAAACUUAUCAUAGAUAAUAUUGAUAAAAAUUAACAAUCUAACGUAAACAAAUAUUCAUUUCAUCACAAACCAUUGACUAAAAAAAACGCUUUUGAGUAAAGGUCUUUUAAACAAAAUGUUACAAGAAGUCAAGAAAAUCGAUAAUUUAUACUCACCAUCUAUAAGACAUAGCUAUAACACCUUACACUGCUUUCAACUUUCAACUCACAUAAAUAAUCAAAAAAUGAAUAACAAACAAUUUUUCUCUUAUAAGUUUUCACACUAGACAAAAAUUUCAGGAGCAAAUCCCUGACGCACACUCCA
RNAcentral lists this long non-coding RNA (470 nucleotides) under Brassica napus (rape). RNAcentral's name for it is "long non-coding RNA (BNAP_LNC000588)". Lineage: Eukaryota; Viridiplantae; Streptophyta; Magnoliopsida; Brassicales; Brassicaceae. The record is from RNAcentral.